Pseudophryne corroboree (corroboree frog) is the source of this 130-nucleotide small nucleolar RNA. RefSeq annotates it as small nucleolar RNA SNORA71. The record is from RefSeq and is a predicted model, not a curated record. The transcript has a single exon. NCBI's taxonomy places the organism in Eukaryota, Metazoa, Chordata, Amphibia, Anura, Myobatrachidae.
ACCUGCAUCGAAAGUGAUUGUGGCUCUGCUUGUGACCCGGUCAUUGAUACUGCAGGAAGAGUAUAACUGAAUGCAUUUCCCGUGUUUGCUGAGUAAUAUGGUACCUGCCAAACCCUGUAACGUUCAUACA